ACAAACUUGGUCAUUUAGAGGAAGUAAAAGUCGUAACAAGGUUUCCGUAGGUGAACCUGCGGAAGGAUCAUUAUCGAGUUUUUUGGAGGAUGUGCUGGCACCGGCUAUCGAGCCUUUUGCAUGUGCACUCCGACAAAUAUCUCUAAAUCCACCUGUGCACAAGAUGUAGACAGAGAAAUGGUUACAUUUGAUCGUCUACGUUUUUUAUAACACAACCUUUAAGUUCAAAAGAAUGGUUGGUGACUCGUUCAAACGAGUUUUAAUUCAUUACAACUUUCAACAAUGGAUCUCUUGGUUCUCGCAUCGAUGAAGAACGCAGC
RNAcentral lists this unclassified non-coding RNA (320 nucleotides) under uncultured fungus. RNAcentral describes it as "partial contains small subunit ribosomal RNA, internal transcribed spacer 1, and 5.8S ribosomal RNA". The stretch from base 1 to 73 matches the Rfam family "Eukaryotic small subunit ribosomal RNA", at positions 1759 to 1831 of the family's 1831-position model. Lineage: Eukaryota; Fungi. The record is from RNAcentral.